GGCUGAAUGCGCACGCGCGGCAAAAGCUGCGCGCGCAUUCAGCCGGUCACAUAGGAAAGCAUUCAUAAUGCUUUCCUAUGGACGCUUGCGUGCUCUCACUGUGAAAAUCACAGUGAGAAGCACGCAAGCGCCUCUAGUGGCUGUCAAUGAGACAGCCACUAGAGGAUUAGGGGGAAGGCUUAACCCAUUCAUAAACAUAGCAGUUUCUCUGAAACUGCUAUGUUUAUGAAAAAAUGGGUUAACCCUAGCUGGACC
This 255-nucleotide long non-coding RNA is filed under the name Pelobates cultripes (western spadefoot toad). The record is from RNAcentral. Lineage: Eukaryota; Metazoa; Chordata; Amphibia; Anura; Pelobatidae.